Molecule: ribosomal RNA, 429 nt
Filed under: bacterium
Lineage: Bacteria
Description: partial 16S ribosomal RNA
Rfam family: Bacterial small subunit ribosomal RNA
Source: RNAcentral
UAGGGAAUCUUCCACAAUGGACGCAAGUCUGAUGGAGCAACGCCGCGUGAGUGAAGAAGGUUUUCGGAUCGUAAAGCUCUGUUGUUGUUGAAGAAGGAUAGAGGCAGUAACUGGUCUUUAUUUGACGGUAAUCAACCAGAAAGUCACGGCUAACUACGUGCCAGCAGCCGCGGUAAUACGUAGGUGGCAAGCGUUGUCCGGAUUUAUUGGGCGUAAAGCGAGCGCAGGCGGAAUGAUAAGUCUGAUGUGAAAGCCCACGGCUCAACCGUGGAACUGCAUCGGAAACUGUCAUUCUUGAGUGCAGAAGAGGAGAGUGGAAUUCCAUGUGUAGCGGUGGAAUGCGUAGAUAUAUGGAAGAACACCAGUGGCGAAGGCGGCUCUCUGGUCUGCAACUGACGCUGAGGCUCGAAAGCAUGGGUAGCGAACAGG